Molecule: ribosomal RNA, 429 nt
Filed under: Verrucomicrobiota bacterium
Lineage: Bacteria; Pseudomonadati; Verrucomicrobiota
Description: Verrucomicrobia bacterium partial 16S ribosomal RNA
Rfam family: Bacterial small subunit ribosomal RNA
Source: RNAcentral
UAGGGAAUCUUCCGCAAUGGACGAAAGUCUGACGGAGCAACGCCGCGUGAGUGAAGAAGGAUUUCGGUUCGUAAAACUCUGUUGUUAGGGAAGAAAAAAUGUAUAGUAAAGAUAUACAAAAGAGACGGUACCGAACCAGAAAGCCACGGCUAACUACGUGCCAGCAGCCGCGGUAAUACGUAGGUGGCAAGCGUUGUCCGGAAUUAUUGGGCGUAAAGCGCGCGCAGGUGGUUUAGAAAGUCUGAUGUGAAAGCCCCCGGCUCAACCGUGGAGGGUCAUUGGAAACUAAUAAACUUGAGUGCAGGAGAGAAAAGUGGAAUUCCUAGUGUAGCGGUGAGAUGCGUAGAGAUUAGGAGGAACACCGGUGGCGAAAGCGGCUUUUUGGCCUGCAACUGACACUGAGGCGCGAAAGCGUGGGGAGCAAACAGG